GGGUCUUUAGUUCAGUUGGUAGAACGUGCGGCUGUUAACCGCAAAGUCGUGGGUUCGAGUCCCACAGGGCCCUCCA
This 76-nucleotide transfer RNA is filed under the name Clostridiaceae bacterium. RNAcentral's name for it is "tRNA-Asn". It matches the Rfam family "tRNA". Rfam says of the family: Transfer RNA (tRNA) molecules are approximately 80 nucleotides in length. The record is from RNAcentral. Lineage: Bacteria; Bacillati; Bacillota; Clostridia; Eubacteriales; Clostridiaceae.